UACGUAGGGUGCGAGCGUUAAUCGGAAUUACUGGGCGUAAAGGGCGUGUAGGCGGUAUGUUAAGUCUGGCGUGAAAGCUCUCGGCUAAACCGGGAGAGGUCGUUGGAUACUGGCACACUAGAGGAUGGUAGAGGCGUGUGGAAUUCCGGGUGUAGUGGUGAAAUGCGUAGAGAUCCGGAGGAACACCAGUGGCGAAGGCGACACGCUGGGCCAUACCUGACGCUAAAGCGCGACAGCAUGGGGAGCAAACGGG
Molecule: ribosomal RNA, 253 nt
Filed under: uncultured bacterium
Lineage: Bacteria
Description: partial 16S ribosomal RNA
Rfam family: Bacterial small subunit ribosomal RNA
Source: RNAcentral